AGUGAACGCUGGCGGUAGGCCUAACACAUGCAAGUCGAACGGCAGCACAGGAGAGCUUGCUCUCUGGGUGGCGAGUGGCGGACGGGUGAGGAAUACAUCGGAAUCUACUCUGUCGUGGGGGAUAACGUAGGGAAACUUACGCUAAUACCGCAUACGACCUACGGGUGAAAGCAGGGGAUCUUCGGACCUUGCGCGAUUGAAUGAGCCGAUGUCGGAUUAGCUAGUUGGCGGGGUAAAGGCCCACCAAGGCGACGAUCCGUAGCUGGUCUGCGAGGAUGAUCAGCCACCCUGGAACUGAGACACGGUCCAGACUCCUACGGGAGGCAGCAGUGGGGAAUAUUGGACAAUGGGCGCAAGCCUGAUCCAGCCAUACCGCGUGGGUGAAGAAGGCCUUCGGGUUGUAAAGCCCUUUUGUUGGGAAAGAAAUCCAGCUGGCUAAUACCCGGUUGGGAUGACGGUACCCAAAGAAUAAGCACCGGCUAACUUCGUGCCAGCCGCCGCCGUAA
This 506-nucleotide ribosomal RNA is filed under the name uncultured bacterium. RNAcentral's name for it is "partial 16S ribosomal RNA". It matches the Rfam family "Bacterial small subunit ribosomal RNA", at positions 29 to 523 of the family's 1533-position model. The record is from RNAcentral.